Mastomys coucha (southern multimammate mouse) is the source of this 3305-nucleotide RNA transcript. It is a transcript of the gene named TIMELESS-interacting protein pseudogene, with no coding region annotated. The record is from RefSeq and is a predicted model, not a curated record. Lineage: Eukaryota; Metazoa; Chordata; Mammalia; Rodentia; Muridae. The transcript has a single exon.
AAGAGCAGUCAGUGCUUUUAACCACUGAGCCAUCUCUCCAGCCCCAAAGGAUAACUUUUCAGGAUUAUAUUCCUUCUACCAUACCCAGGCAUUGAACUCAGGUAUCAGGCUUGUUGGAAAAUGCUAUCACCUACUGAUCUUUCUUGCUGGCUCCAGUGAAUAUAUUUUUAAUCAUACUAAUCACUAAGCACAAUCCUGAAGUACAUUUUAUUGCAACUGGAUUGAUAAACAUUUUAAAGGUGUGUAUUAGUUAUUUUUUGUUUAUAUGAUACAAUAUCAUGGCCAAAAGCAACUUAAAGAAGAAAGCUUAUUUUGGCUGACAGUUUCAGGAGAUUUUAUAAUGGUGCUGAAUUGGCAGCAACAGGAAACUGAGAGAUUACAUUUCCAUUCACAUGCAGGAAGCAAUGAGUGGAAGCUGGAAGUGGGGCAAAGCUGUGGACUCUCAAAGCCCAUCCCUAAUGACUAACUCCCUCCAGCAAAGCUCCACCUCCGCAACAGCGCCACCAACCGGAGACCAAGGGUUCAAAUAUAUGAGCCCAUAGGGGACAUUUUUUAUUCAUAACACCACAAGGGCUUUAUGCAUUGUUUUUUCCAGCAUCACUUUCAGUAGGAAAAGGGGGGAGGGAUAAAAUUAUAUUUAUUAAUAUGGUUAUAAUGGGGAAUAAAGACUUUUUAGCUAUUAAAAGAAAAUGGUAAAUAUGUGAUGGGCAUCUGGAAGUAUUGAUGGCCAUCACGAAUUUCAAUGUAAAAGCUGUUUCAGAGUUAAACAUGGCAUACUUUCAUUCUUGAAAAUUUCCAUUGAGUAAAUAUAGAUAGCCCUGUAGAAAGACCAGAAAACUCUAUGCCAAAUUGAUGUCCAAUGGGAGAAUACAGGGUGGGCUAGGUAAUGGUGACUACUUAAUUCUGGGAGAAAGAGAUUGGGGAUGGGGAAUAUAGGAGAUAUUAGGCAUUUUUUUUUUUUAUUAUUUGUUUUGGGGUGGGGUUUUUGGAUUUUUUAUUUUGUUUAUUUUUACGUACUUGCGUUAGGGUGAUCCCAGGGCCUUGUACAUGUUAACUGUGUACUACAUGGCACAUCUCCAGUUCCCUUAAUGUUACAUUUGACUGAGGCCAAAGUUGAACCCUGAGAAAAUAUGUAGAAAUUAAUAUGUAUUUUACAGUAGAAAUAUAUGCAUGUUAAAACAAUUAAAAUUGUUCAUAGAUAUAUUCAGUAAUUCUCCUCAUUCUGUCCUUCAGAAGGUAUUCUGUAUAUUUAUAAACAUAUAUGUAUGUUCUUCCCAUCUUGCAGAUAGGUGUUUUAUACGAAAUUUGAAAUAGUUUUAUAUAUACUAAUAUUAGUUUACUAGAGCUACUAUAACAAAAUACCAUAGCCAAUGUGGCUUAAAUAACAGGAAUAGUUUUUCUUACAGCUCUAGACCAACAGCACCGUCCAACUGUUGGCAGAGUGGCUUUCUAAUGCUUAGCUUGCAGGCUGGGCUUUUUCUGUCUUUACAGCAUUGUCCCUCUACUGCAUUAUCUGUCCUAAUGUCAUGAAAUGGCACAGCCAGAUAGACUACAGCACACUCUGACUCCAUUUUAACCUGACCACCUUUUAUUUAAAGGGCUCCCUCCCUUCCUUUCUUUUUUUCUUCAUUUUCUCUUUUUGUUUUGAUUUUUGAGACAAAGUCUCAACUCAAUUGCCCUGGCUAAACUGACACUCCAGAUCCCCCUGCAUAUACCUCAUAAAUGCUGGGAUUAAAAUGUACUACCAUGCUUGGCAGGGACCUAUUUCUAGGACUUCAGCAUAUGCUUUGAGAAAGGCACACAAUCUAGCUCUCUCAGUAGAUAGAUAAAUACUAUUGCAUAGAGUCACUGUGUCAUAUAGUGGAAAUACUAGGUUGAACUAUCUGAAGCUACAGUAAAAAAGCAGAAACAGGGCUUACGGAUGUAGCUCAGCGGUAGAUCCCUUACUGAGCAUGUGGAGAGGCCUCAGUUUAAUUACCAAUACUCUAGGAAAAAAGUUUCAGAUGGUUCAACAUAAUACUAUGGCAUUUAAUUAAUGUCCUUUUGAUGAGUCUUUUAUGUAUUCUCAAAAUAAUUCAAAUGAUACUACAGUUAGUAUCUUUGAAUUAAUGUGGUUUUGCACAUAUGUGAAUAUACCUGUUGGGUGAAAUUCUUGGGGUUACUGCAGCAAAGGAGAGAUAAUGUGUUUCUGUGGACCACUUGUGAGCUGAUCAAGAGGGAGCUGGUCCAGGGCCUGUUCUGCAAACUUUCCUGGCAGGGGCAAGGCUAUGCUAGCAGAUAGGACCCGUGCUGCUUGGCGGCGGCCGCCGUUUGGGUGAGAUGUUAGAGCAAGAAGAAAAUGGCUUGCUUGAAAUACCAGAUUAUGAACAUGUAGAGGAUGAAACUUUUCCUCCCUUCCCACCUCCGGCCUCUCCAGAGAGAGAUCCUGCAGAAGCUGAACCUGAUGAAGGAUCAGGGAGUGGAGCACCUGUUCCCCCAAAGAGAACAGAUAAAAGGAAUCUAUCUAAGCUAGAUGCUACAAGAUUGACUUCAGAGAGAGGGCUUCCAGCCUUAAGGCAUGUGUUUGAUAAGACGAAAUUCAAGGGGAAAGGUCAUGAGGCUGAAGACUUGAAAACGCUAAUCAGACACAUGGAGCACUGGGCACAUAGGCUAUUCCCCAAACUGCAGUUUGAAGAUUUUAUUGACAGAGUUGAAAACCUAGGAAAUAAAAAGGAGGUGCAGACCUGUUUAAAACGAAUUCGACUUGAUCUGCCUAUUGUACAUGAAGAUUUUGUUAACAAUAAUGAUGAAAUUGAGGAAACUAAUAGCCUUGAUGUAACUGCUACUGGAUUUGAUCCCUUUUUGACAAGUUCAUCUGACAGCAAGAAGUUUGCUUCUGAAUCAACUAGAAGCCUAAGAGAAGAGCAGCAACAGAGAAUUGAGAGAAAUAAACAGUUGGCCUUGGAAAGAAGGCAGGCAAAGCUAUUGAAUAAUAGCCAGUCCCUAGAAAAUGACGUGACAGUUGAAGAGAGCAGUACUGGUGAGGAUCAAGAAGAAUCAAAUGGAUUAAACAGAGACACUACUGAUGAUCCACAUGAUGUUCCUUCUGUCAGUACACAUGAAGAGGAACAGUUCAAAGCAGAGGAAACACAGCUGGACCAAACUAAGACUAAUCCAGAAAUGUUCUAAGUAACCAACCUUCUACAACAGAAUCCUGCAAGCUUGGGGUUAUUUGUAGGUUUUUUUCUACUUUGUAUAAAUCCUUAAGUCUUAAGACUUAUGUGGAUUCCUGCUUAAAAUACAGUGACUAUUUAAAUUGUUUCCUA